UGAAUACGAGACGCUAAGGCGUCGAAGUAGUGUAUGUCAUACUUCCAAGAAAAGCUUGCACUGUCAUAGAUAAAAAACGCCUGUACCAUAACCGACACAGGUGGGUAGGUAGAGUAUACUAAGGGGCGCGAGAUAACUCUCUCUAAGGAACUCGGCAAAAUAACUCCGUAACUUCGGGAGAAGGAGUGCCUUAUUCGUAAGGUUGCAAUAACAAGAUCCAAGCAACUGUUUAUCAAAAACACAGGUCUCCGCUAAGUCGUAAGACGAUGUAUGGGGGCUGACGCCUGCCCAGUGCCAGAAGGUUAAAGAAGUUGGUUAGCAAUUGCGAAGCUGAUAACUGAAGCCCUGGUGAACGGCGGCCGUAACGAUAACGGUCCUAAGGUAGCGAAAUUCCUUGUCGGGUAAGUUCCGACCCGCACGAAAGGCGUAAUGAUUUGGAUACUGUCUCGGAGAGGGGCUCGGUGAAAUAGACUUGUCUGUGAAGAUGCGGACUACCUGCACCAGGACAGAAAGACCCUAUGAAGCUUUACUGUAACUUGAAAUUGAAAUUGGACUUUAUUCGCGCAGUAUAGGUGGGAGGCGUUGAUUAUAAUCUUGUGGGAUUAUUGGAGCCAUCAGUGAGAUACCACUCUUGUAAUGUUAGAUUUCUAACUUUGAAUCAUUAUCUGGUCAAAGAACAGUUUCAGGCGGGCAGUUUGACUGGGGCGGUCGCCUCCUAAACGGUAACGGAGGCGUACAAAGGUUUCCUCUGAACGGUUAGAAAUCGUAUCUAGAGUGUAAAGGCAUAAGGAAGCUUGACUGUGAGACCUACAAGUCGAGCAGGGACGAAAGUCGGUCUUAGUGAUCUGACGGUACUGAGUGGAAAGGCCGUCACUCAACGGAUAAAAGUUACUCUAAGGAUAACAGGCUGAUCUCCCCCAAGAGUUCACAUCGACGGGGAGGUUUGGCACCUCGAUGUCGGCUCAUCGCAUCCUGGGGCGGUAGUACGUCCCAAGGGUUGGGCUGUUCGCCCAUGAAAGCGGUACGCGAGCUGGGUUCAGAACGUCGUGAGACAGUUCGGUCCAUAUCCGGUGUAGGCGUUAGAAUAUUGAGAGGAGCCUUCUUUAGUACGAGAGGACCGAGAAGGACAUACCUCUGGUGUACCAGUUAUCGUGCCAACGGUAAACGCUGGGUAGCUAUGUAUGGAGUGGAUAACCGCUGAAAGCAUCUAAGUGGGAAGCCCACCUCAAGAUGAGUAUUCUCAU
Molecule: ribosomal RNA, 1244 nt
Filed under: metagenome
Description: bacterial LSU rRNA
Rfam family: Bacterial large subunit ribosomal RNA
Source: RNAcentral